GUAUUCGUUUUGGCAGCACAUAUACUAAAAUUGGAACGAUACAGAGAAGAUUAGCCUGACCCCUGCACAAGGAUGCAAAUUCGUGAAGCAUUCCAUAUUUUU
This is a small nuclear RNA of Meriones unguiculatus (Mongolian gerbil), 102 nucleotides long. Lineage: Eukaryota; Metazoa; Chordata; Mammalia; Rodentia; Muridae. The record is from Ensembl.